RNAcentral lists this ribosomal RNA (1129 nucleotides) under Cunninghamella elegans. Its description in RNAcentral is "LSU rRNA". It matches the Rfam family "Eukaryotic large subunit ribosomal RNA", at positions 1 to 966 of the family's 3401-position model. The record is from RNAcentral. Lineage: Eukaryota; Fungi; Mucoromycota; Mucoromycetes; Mucorales; Cunninghamellaceae.
CCCCGGGCGUGGGAACUUAAGGCAAUUAGUGCGAGUGAGAGAGGGAGGGGGAGAAAGGGAAAAGAUGAGAACAAGUGGGAUUCCCCCCCUAGUAAACGGGACGAAGGGGGAAAGAAGGGGAAAAAGCUCAAAAGUUGGCUACCGCAUGUUGGACAUAACUCUCCCGGAAUGUAAACUAAAAGUUUUUGAGGUCGGUUUUAGUCAGCCAGGGUAAAUAAGUCCAUCUGGAAAGGGGGCAGACAUAGAGGGGUGAAAUACCCCGUCUUUUGGCCUGAGUUUUUGGUUAGGGCGUUUGGCUUGGAAGACGAAGAGUCAGGUUGUUUUGGGAAUGCAGCCUAAAAAUGGGAGGUAAAUCUCUCCUAAAGCUAAAUAUUGACGAAAGACCGAUAGCGAACAAAGUACCGUGAGGGAAAGAUGAAAAGCACUUUGAAAAGAGGGUCAAAAAGUACGUGAAAUUGCUGAAAGGGAACCGUAUGAAAUCAGACCUACUGGUAGGUAAUCAAUCUUUCCCUUGGGAAGGAUGCACUUGCCUGCUAUGUAUGCCAGCGACAUUUUGGUUGGAAGGAAAAAAAUAGAGGAAAUGUAGCCUGGGCUUCGGUUCAGGUGUUAUAGUCCUUUAUAAAAUACUUUCGGCUGGAAUGAGGAACGCAGCAAACCGUAAGGCGAAGAUACUAGGCGCUUGGGGAAAAUAAUGAGAGAAUUUCUGCUUCGGGUGGUGCUUUUAUUAUUUUUUUCAACUCGUUUGGUGUUCUUUUAAUUUGCUUAGGUUGUUGGCUUAAUGAUUUUAUAUGACCCGUCUUGAAACACGGACCAAGGAGUCCACCAUAUGCGCGAGUCUUUGGGUGUAGAAACCCAUGGGCGGAAGGAAAUUGACUAAGAUACCAAGGCGUAAGCUGGCAGUAUCCCCCCGGCAUAGACGUUUUAUACUGAAAUGACUGAGGGCAAGCGCUUAUGAUGGGACCCGGAAAGAUGGUGAACUAUACUUGAAUAGGGUAAAGGCCAGAGGAAACUCUGGGUGGAAGCUCCGCAGGCGAUUCUGACGUGCAAAUCGAAUCGUCAAAAUUUUGAGUAUAGGGGGCCGAAAGACUAAAUCGAAACCAAUCUAGUUAGCUGGGUUCCUGCCCGGAAG